This 274-nucleotide signal recognition particle RNA is filed under the name Candidatus Woesearchaeota archaeon. RNAcentral's name for it is "signal recognition particle sRNA". It matches the Rfam family "Archaeal signal recognition particle RNA". The record is from RNAcentral. Lineage: Archaea; Nanobdellati; Candidatus Woesearchaeota.
GGGAAGGCUAGGCUGGGAGAUUAGCGCUCUCCUGUUACCGUAGACACGCUUCAGACGGAGCUGAAAUCAAGAGAGAGGCAUGAGCCUUAACCGUUAGUCUUGGACUGGACAAUGAAACUCUGUCCUUUUGGAUUAUCUUUUUAAGGAACUUGGUCAGGAUGGGAACAUAGCAGCCAUAACUUAUUAAGAUGAUGCUUAAAGGGUAGCGGAGUCUAGGAAAGCUCAAGGUCAACUAGCAGUUAUAACUCGUGUCCAUCUCUUGGUAUGCCUUCCU